UACGUAGGGGGCAAGCGUUGUCCGGAUUCAUUGGGCGUAAAGAGCGUGUAGGCGGCCAAACAGGUCCGUUGUGAAAACUGGAGGCUCAACCUCCAGACGUCGACGGAAACCGUGUGGCUAGAGUCCGGAAGAGGAGAGUGGAAUUCCUGGUGUAGCGGUGAAAUGCGCAGAUAUCAGGAAGAACACCAAUGGCGAAGGCAGCUCUCUGGGACGGUACUGACGCUGAGACGCGAAAGCGUGGGGAGCGAACAGG
This 253-nucleotide ribosomal RNA is filed under the name uncultured bacterium. Its description in RNAcentral is "partial 16S ribosomal RNA". It matches the Rfam family "Bacterial small subunit ribosomal RNA", at positions 524 to 776 of the family's 1533-position model. The record is from RNAcentral.